AUGCCUUACACAUGCAAGUCGAACGGCAGCGCGGACUUCGGUCUGGCGGCGAGUGGCGAACGGGUGAGUAAUGUAUCGGAACGUGCCUAGUAGCGGGGAUAACUACUCGAAAGAGUAGCUAAUACCGCAUACGCCCUACGGGGGAAAGCAGGGGAUCGCAAGACCUUGCGCUAUACGAGCGGCCGAUGUCAGAUUAGCUAGUUGGUAGGGUAAAGGCCUACCAAGGCGACGAUCUGUAGCGGGUCUGAGAGGAUGAUCCGCCACACUGGGACUGAGACACGGCCCAGACUCCUACGGGAGGCAGCAGUGGGGAAUUUUGGACAAUGGGCGAAAGCCUGAUCCAGCCAUGCCGCGUGAGUGAAGAAGGCCUUCGGGUUGUAAAGCUCUUUCGGCUGGGAAGAAAUCGCACAGGCUAAUACUCUGUGUGGAUGACGGUACCAGCACAAGAAGCACCGGCUAACUACGUG
RNAcentral lists this ribosomal RNA (467 nucleotides) under uncultured bacterium. RNAcentral describes it as "bacterial SSU rRNA". It matches the Rfam family "Bacterial small subunit ribosomal RNA", at positions 44 to 507 of the family's 1533-position model. The record is from RNAcentral.